Pseudomyrmex gracilis is the source of this 314-nucleotide long non-coding RNA. RefSeq lists it as uncharacterized. The record is from RefSeq and is a predicted model, not a curated record. The transcript is spliced from 3 exons. NCBI's taxonomy places the organism in Eukaryota, Metazoa, Arthropoda, Insecta, Hymenoptera, Formicidae.
GCGAUCUGCGCCGCCAUGUAGAUGAGACAGUUGAAACUGAAACGAGACGACGAAGUGGCGUGAGUUUCCUGCGACGAAGUUAAGGUAUUCCAUCACCACGCAGUAUGGUUCCUCGCGAUGACAGGCACCUAAGACCCGAGCAAUAUUGCGAUCCUCCAGAGCGGCUAGAAUUCUCACGUCUCUUUGGAAGUCCAACCUGUUCGGAAUCAGUUUUCUCCGUUGAGUUAUCACGGAAAGGUGCGCAAAUUCGAACUGACGUUUUCAAGGCGAGCUCUCGCUGUGUUCGCGUGUGUCUGUGCCAAUCGAUCAGUAUC